CGCACAUUGCGCCCUUUGGCAUUCCGAAGGGCAUGCCUGUUCGAGCGUCAUUAUCACCCCUCAAGCCCCCGGCUUGGUGUUGGACGAUUUGGCGGAGGCCCCUCACGGGGCUCCCGCCCGUCCCAAAGACAAUGACGGCGGCCUCGUUGGACCCCCGGUACACUGAGUUCUUCACGGGACACGUACUGGAGUAAGGGUUCGCGGGGCACGGUCUGCCUCCCCUCAGGGAGAAUUUUUUACAAGGUUGACCUCGGAUCAGGUAGGGAUACCCGCUGAACUUAA
RNAcentral lists this unclassified non-coding RNA (282 nucleotides) under Veronaea compacta. RNAcentral's name for it is "partial contains 5.8S ribosomal RNA, internal transcribed spacer 2, and large subunit ribosomal RNA". Lineage: Eukaryota; Fungi; Ascomycota; Eurotiomycetes; Chaetothyriales; Herpotrichiellaceae. The record is from RNAcentral.